This 1955-nucleotide ribosomal RNA is filed under the name Escherichia coli. RNAcentral's name for it is "bacterial LSU rRNA". It matches the Rfam family "Bacterial large subunit ribosomal RNA", at positions 1 to 2023 of the family's 2925-position model. Lineage: Bacteria; Pseudomonadati; Pseudomonadota; Gammaproteobacteria; Enterobacterales; Enterobacteriaceae. The record is from RNAcentral.
UUAAGCGACUAAGCGUACACGGUGGAUGCCCUGGCAGUCAGAGGCGAUGAAGGACGUGCUAAUCUGCGAUAAGCGUCGGUAAGGUGAUAUGAACCGUUAUAACCGGCGAUUUCCGAAUGGGGAAACCCAGUGUGUUUCGACACACUAUCAUUAACUGAAUCCAUAGGUUAAUGAGGCGAACCGGGGGAACUGAAACAUCUAAGUACCCCGAGGAAAAGAAAUCAACCGAGAUUCCCCCAGUAGCGGCGAGCGAACGGGGAGCAGCCCAGAGCCUGAAUCAGUGUGUGUGUUAGUGGAAGCGUCUGGAAAGGCGCGCGAUACAGGGUGACAGCCCCGUACACAAAAAUGCACAUGCUGUGAGCUCGAUGAGUAGGGCGGGACACGUGGUAUCCUGUCUGAAUAUGGGGGGACCAUCCUCCAAGGCUAAAUACUCCUGACUGACCGAUAGUGAACCAGUACCGUGAGGGAAAGGCGAAAAGAACCCCGGCGAGGGGAGUGAAAAAGAACCUGAAACCGUGUACGUACAAGCAGUGGGAGCACGCUUAGGCGUGUGACUGCGUACCUUUUGUAUAAUGGGUCAGCGACUUAUAUUCUGUAGCAAGGUUAACCGAAUAGGGGAGCCGAAGGGAAACCGAGUCUUAACUGGGCGUUAAGUUGCAGGGUAUAGACCCGAAACCCGGUGAUCUAGCCAUGGGCAGGUUGAAGGUUGGGUAACACUAACUGGAGGACCGAACCGACUAAUGUUGAAAAAUUAGCGGAUGACUUGUGGCUGGGGGUGAAAGGCCAAUCAAACCGGGAGAUAGCUGGUUCUCCCCGAAAGCUAUUUAGGUAGCGCCUCGUGAAUUCAUCUCCGGGGGUAGAGCACUGUUUCGGCAAGGGGGUCAUCCCGACUUACCAACCCGAUGCAAACUGCGAAUACCGGAGAAUGUUAUCACGGGAGACACACGGCGGGUGCUAACGUCCGUCGUGAAGAGGGAAACAACCCAGACCGCCAGCUAAGGUCCCAAAGUCAUGGUUAAGUGGGAAACGAUGUGGGAAGGCCCAGACAGCCAGGAUGUUGGCUUAGAAGCAGCCAUCAUUUAAAGAAAGCGUAAUAGCUCACUGGUCGAGUCGGCCUGCGCGGAAGAUGUAACGGGGCUAAACCAUGCACCGAAGCUGCGGCAGCGACNGAAGGUGUGCUGUGAGGCAUGCUGGAGGUAUCAGAAGUGCGAAUGCUGACAUAAGUAACGAUAAAGCGGGUGAAAAGCCCGCUCGCCGGAAGACCAAGGGUUCCUGUCCAACGUUAAUCGGGGCAGGGUGAGUCGACCCCUAAGGCGAGGCCGAAAGGCGUAGUCGAUGGGAAACAGGUUAAUAUUCCUGUACUUGGUGUUACUGCGAAGGGGGGACGGAGAAGGCUAUGUUGGCCGGGCGACGGUUGUCCCGGUUUAAGCGUGUAGGCUGGUUUUCCAGGCAAAUCCGGAAAAUCAAGGCUGAGGCGUGAUGACGAGGCACUACGGUGCUGAAGCAACAAAUGCCCUGCUUCCAGGAAAAGCCUCUAAGCAUCAGGUAACAUCAAAUCGUACCCCAAACCGACACAGGUGGUCAGGUAGAGAAUACCAAGGCGCUUGAGAGAACUCGGGUGAAGGAACUAGGCAAAAUGGUGCCGUAACUUCGGGAGAAGGCACGCUGAUAUGUAGGUGAGGUCCCUCGCGGAUGGAGCUGAAAUCAGUCGAAGAUACCAGCUGGCUGCAACUGUUUAUUAAAAACACAGCACUGUGCAAACACGAAAGUGGACGUAUACGGUGUGACGCCUGCCCGGUGCCGGAAGGUUAAUUGAUGGGGUCAGCGCAAGCGAAGCUCUUGAUCGAAGCCCCGGUAAACGGCGGCCGUAACUAUAACGGUCCUAAGGUAGCGAAAUUCCUUGUCGGGUAAGUUCCGACCUGCACGAAUGGCGUAAUGAUGGCCAGGCUGUCUCC